AUCCAGCUGACGAGUCCCAAAUAGAACGAAACUCGCAUCCUGACUGGAU
This is a non-coding RNA of Trichobilharzia regenti, 49 nucleotides long. The record is from Rfam. NCBI's taxonomy places the organism in Eukaryota, Metazoa, Platyhelminthes, Trematoda, Strigeidida, Schistosomatidae.